UACGAAGGGGGCUAGCGUUGCUCGGAAUUACUGGGCGUAAAGGGAGCGUAGGCGGAUAGUUUAGUCAGAGGUGAAAGCCCAGGGCUCAACCUUGGAAUUGCCUUUGAUACUGGCUAUCUUGAGUUUGGGAGAGGUGAGUGGAACUCCGAGUGUAGAGGUGAAAUUCGUAGAUAUUCGGAAGAACACCAGUGGCGAAGGCGACUCACUGGCCCAAUACUGACGCUGAGGCUCGAAAGCGUGGGGAGCAAACAGG
This 253-nucleotide ribosomal RNA is filed under the name uncultured bacterium. Its description in RNAcentral is "partial 16S ribosomal RNA". It matches the Rfam family "Bacterial small subunit ribosomal RNA", at positions 524 to 776 of the family's 1533-position model. The record is from RNAcentral.